AGAAAAGGAGAGAAGAAUGUCCAUUGUCAUUGCAACUUUGGCCUUUUCUGAGUUCUGUCUUCUAAAAAGAGCCCAGAGUAGCUGCUCCUGCCUCAUCACUGGCCCUGCUGUCUUCUUCAUCAGAUCAGUUCUAGAACAUGUCUAACAGCUCAGUGGACCAAAUCACCCAGUUCACGAGGAGAUGCUUCAAACUUAACAAAAAUAUAUAUAAAGCAGGAAAAGAUAAGACUCAGGGGCUGCUCCAAUUUGACUGCGCAUAGCACCAGAACCACAUAGGCUUGUGGUGGGGCCUGAGGAUGUGCAUUUGGCACAAGUUUUCAACAAUCUAAUGCUGCUGGUCCAGGGUCCCCUCUUGAAGAACCACUGCUUUGUUAUAAUCAUCCUGAUCAUCAGGGCACCUGCAACCAAGGAGCUGGGUGUUGCUCAAGGAAAAUCACCCAACCCCACUGACUGCUUUCACUUAAAUUCAUGAUUACAGAUUCUAAAGGAGCCCUCAGUAACUGCCUGGCUGUCCUUUUCAAUUUCCCUAGUAAAGUCCCUUUGUCUAUUCUGUACUCUGUCCUCUCUCUGUCUUGCCUACUCUUCAAUUUCAGCAGAUAACCUCACCUCCCACACUUCAGUGAGGAACUAGAGUAGAGGCCAGGAAAUAGGAACUCUCUUCCCAAUGGUGCUUGAGGCUCCUCUGACUUUCCUCCUGUUACAAGGGAAAGACAGAUUUCUGUCUGUCACCAGUCAGUCUCCCCUUUGCUCUGCAUCCCAUCAGCCUCACCUUUUUUUUUGUUUUUGUUUUUUUUUAAAGAGAGAGUAUGAGAGAGAGAGAAUUUUUUCAAUAUUUAUUUUCUAGUUUUCGGUGGACACAACAUCUUUGUUUGUAUGUGGUGCUGAGGAUCAAACCCGGACCGCACGCAUGCCAGGCAAGCGCGCUACCGCUUGAGCCACAUCCCCAGCCCAAGCCUCACCUUUCUUAGAGCUUUGCUUCUUCAAUCACUCCUUCCUUCUUAUGCUAUUAAUGUAUGUGUUGAUUGGGAUUGUUCCCCUCAUCCCCACCUUUAACCUGCUCUUGGCCCUGUAUUCCCUUCCAGCCACCAUUCCAUUUCUCUGCUCCCAUUUACAAAAAUUCUUGAAAAAGUUGUUGACUCACCAUGUUACCUCAUUUCCCUUUUGCUCUUAAAAAAAGUAUGUGGAGUCGGGUGUGGUGGCUCACACUUUUUUUUAAAAUUAAUUAAUUAAUUAAUUUUUAUUAUUAGUUGUUCAAAACAUUACAAAGCUCUUGAUAGGGCGAUCUGGCUGCAACAUCUGUCACCCCAUUGAUCACCAGGGUUGAUUCGGCUGAUCUGGCUGGCUAGGUGGGUGUCCCCUUCCUCCCUCAUCGCUCCAUGUGCGUCCCUCCCGAAGGCUGCAGCUGCGUGCUCUUUGGAAGAGGACGACCUUCCCUGAUAGAGGAGGACCUUUCUUUGGUCAAGGGUAUACGAGUAGCUGCGCUCCCCUGCUAGAACCUCCAAACAAGCUCUCAAGGUGGCUCACACUUGUAAUCCCAGGGCUCAGGAGGCUGAAGCAGGAGGCUUGAUAGUUCAAAGCCAGCCUCAGCAAAAGUGAGGGGCUAAGCAACUCAGUGAGACCCUGUCUCUAAACAAAAUACAAAAAAGGUCUGGGGAUGUGGCUCAGUGGUUGAGUGCCCCUAAGUUCAAUCCCUGGAAUACCCCCAAAAUAUGUGAAAUAGAUAUUUAUUGAAUAGUAAAUAUUACAUAAGAUACUUGAUAUUUGUUGGAUGUUGUCCUGUGGUCCCUGUCUUCAUGGAGUUCAUGGACAAAACUACAUAUGGCCUGCAGCUAGUGACAAGUGUUGUGCGGAAAGCAGGGUUUUGUGAAUCAGGACAUUCAAGAAAUUCAUACUGAGUACCCACAAUACACCAGGAACAGUUCUAAGCACUGGUAAUACAAUACAAUGUAAUACAAUAGUGAAGAAAGAGAUGAAGGCUCCUGUCCUCCUGUCCUGGAAUUUGUAUUCUAGGGGAAGGAUAUAAGAAAUAGGAAACAACAAUAAAAAGUAAAACAUGUAUAUUAGCUGGUGAUCCAUGCUUUAAAGAAAAAUAAAGCAAAGGGAGUUAAGGAGUAUGACCUGUAAUUUUGAAUAGGGGACUUCCUUGUGCGAACAUCUGGGGAAGAACAUUCCAGGCAGAGAAAACAAUGGGAACAAAGACCUCAGGGCAGAGCAUUCCUGGCUGUUUUGGAGUGAUAGAAGAAAAGGAGGCCAGUCUGCUUGGAGGUAGGGAAGAAAGGGGAAGGAGCAAAGGAGACCAACCAGGGCCAGAGAGAGGCCAGAUUGUGUGGGACAGAGGUUGACAAACUUUUCUCUCCAAAUGCCAGAUAGUAAAUAUUUUAAGCUUUGUAGGCCACAUAUGGUCUCUGUUACAUAUUCUUUUUCUUUUCUUCUCAUUAAAAAAAAAUAAUUUAAAGAAUAAUGUUUAUUAAAAAAAAAUUGGCCUGGGGACAUAGCUUAGUUGGUAGAGUGCUUACCUCACAUGCACAAGGCCCUGGGUUCAAUCUCCAGCAACACACACUCAAACACACACACACACACAUUUAAAAAAGUUAUUACACUUAAAAAUGGUAAAAUCAGGAGGGGAGGAGUAGGGGGGAUAGGAAGGGCAGCAGAAUAGAAUAGACAAUAUGAUUGAUGUAUGUACAUUCCAUUUUUGUAUUAUAUAUCAAAAUACAUUCUGCUGUCAUGUAUGACUAAAAAAAUAAAAAUAAAUUGUAUGGUUUAAAAAAAAGUGGUAAAAUCAUCUUUUCUCCAGCAGUACAAGAAUUUGACCUUACUGUCACCCCUGGGACCUUAUAGGCCACUGUAAAGGUUUUGG
Molecule: long non-coding RNA, 2860 nt
Organism: Marmota monax (woodchuck)
Lineage: Eukaryota; Metazoa; Chordata; Mammalia; Rodentia; Sciuridae
Exons: 3
Source: RefSeq, a predicted model, not a curated record